Molecule: ribosomal RNA, 108 nt
Filed under: Basidiobolus microsporus
Lineage: Eukaryota; Fungi; Basidiobolomycota; Basidiobolomycetes; Basidiobolales; Basidiobolaceae
Description: partial 28S ribosomal RNA
Source: RNAcentral
GCAGGAACUUGCAAGCAUGCGNGCCCCUCCUCUUGCGGGAGAUCAGUGGCGCACGGCAGCUUCAACUUCUUGAUCUCAAAUCAGGUAGGAUUACCCGCUGAACUUAAG